Long non-coding RNA from Stegostoma tigrinum, 2783 nucleotides. RefSeq lists it as uncharacterized. The record is from RefSeq and is a predicted model, not a curated record. Lineage: Eukaryota; Metazoa; Chordata; Chondrichthyes; Orectolobiformes; Stegostomatidae. The transcript has 3 exons.
CCUACCCUCCAGCCAAUCAGAGCGAGUGAGAUGUUUGUCUGUGUGAAAAUCAUGUGAUCGCCUCUGUCCGCGGGCGCAAUAUCUCUGCGAAUGAGGGUUAGCUGCUUUCGGAAGCAAACGGAAAAACUGCUACGGACCUGAGGCUGCGAUAGGCAGAGGUAAUUGCCACCAUCUUUAUUAGGGGCAGUGAUCUUCGGGACUCAUGCCGGAUCGCCAUAUUUAUAGGUGGCAACCUGCAGUGGAACGCAAGCGCAGCCUUUCUUGCUUGGGAGGGGAGAUUAAGACAAGAGAAAUGUUUGUUUUUGUUUUUGUUUUUCUGGACUUCUUUCCCAGACUGUGAGACACGGCGUGUAUUUCCUGGGAAGGACCUUUGACGCUGGCGGAGUACUGGCUUCAGGCAGUAUAAAUUGCUGCAAGUUAUCCGUUAGAUAUUUAAUGGAGGAGAAAUGCCGAAAACGUGUUCAGAACUGCAUGUUCAAAAACAAAGUUGCUGGAAAAGCUCAGUAGGUUUGGUAGCAUCUGUGAAAGGAAAAAAAAUAACGUUUCGGAUCCGCUAAUCCUUGCUUAGAACUUCAUGUUACCUGUUGCACUCUCACUGUAGGAAGUCCUGCUUUAAAUAUUAUGAUCUAUUAAAGCAUAUCCGUUUGCCCAGUAUUCAUAUGAUUGGGAUCAAAUCACUGAAAGUGCUCUGAGUCCCCUUGUGCUCCCUCGUCAAAUUUAUUAAUGUCUGACUUCCUCAGUCUGUAAUAAUGGGUGUAUUUUACCUCUGCAUCUUUCUGUGUGGGGGAGCAGGGUGCUUUUAAGAGGAGGAUUUAUACAUAACUAACAGAAACCAAGAGAAAUGUUUGCCUUUUCCAGACAAUCUUGUGUUUUCUGGAUUUCUGUCCAGGCCUGACCGUUAUUUGUCUCUUGUGGAUUUGCUUUACAGGAUAUUUAUUGAGAAUAAUUUGCAAACCAGGAUCCCAAUGCAAGUUCUCCAUUAAGCGGAGUGAUCAGGAUCUGAGUAUCAUUGACACUUAACAGUGAAAGGAAAGAGGUUUAACCAUUCUAUGCAUGGGAGAAUACUCCUGGACUCUUUUAUACCCCCCACAGGACCUUUUGUGAUCUAAUCCCGUAACAGUGUGAGCUGCUACAAUGCACGUGCUAGUAAAAGCAUAAGAGGACAGAUGAGAUGAGUGCAUGGCUGGAGCUAUAACUUAAAAGGUUUGGAUUCCUGAGGCAUUGAGACUGUUUGUUUGUUUCUGGGGAAGGUGGGACAUGCACAAGCUUGAACAAUUGUCCUGGGCAGAGCUGGGACAGAUAUUCUUGUUGAUGCUUUUGCUAGUUCCACUGGUGAGGAUUUAAACUCGUAUGACAGGGGAAUGGGAACCCAAGUAUAGCUUUAGCAGUAAAAGACUCAAAUCAGCAAAUGGGAUUUGAAAUUAGUUCAUGAUGUUGUCGGUGGCUGAAAGAUUAAAAGAAAGAAGGAUUAAUCAAGAUCAAAUCUCUUUUCAUACAUCAGUCCUGUGAUCCCAGGAAUUGGCCUGGUGAACCUUCUUUCCGAUCAUUCAGUAGCCAGGCCAUCCUUCCUCUGGAAAGGAGAACAAAGGUGCACACGACUCCAGGUGUGGUCUCACCAAGGCCCUUAUAGAAAGAUAUCCCUCUUCCUGUACUCGAAUCCUCUCACAAUGAAGGCCGAAAUAUCAUUUGCAUUCUUCACUACUUGCUGCUGCCUGUUUCCGAAAAGAGAAUAGGAGAGAAACACGGAACUAAAUGGGGUCAGACACUCGGGUAACAUUGUGUUCAACAAUGUCCCCAUUGUAUCGGUGCUGGCCACCAAGCACCUAUUGAAGCUAGGCCCGUUUUCUGGCACUCGGUGUGUAACCUGUAUUUUGGUGCAGUGGAUGAUCAUCUCAACACUUCUUCAAGAUUGCAAUGGUUCCUGCAUCUAUCACCAUUUCAGAUGCUGCCAGAUCUGCUGAGUAUCUCUAUCAUUUUCUGUUUUUAUUUCAGAUUUCAGGUAUUUUUCUGCAUCUUAGUCCUUCAGAAGGAUCAGAGGGUAUGGAGAGAAAACAGGAAUUGGAUUCAUUUUCAGAUGAAUAAAAUGCCUGCCCUUCAUGUCUGUCCAAACUCUAUCUCUUUUUGUAGUUUUGGGCAAACGCUGACUGUUUCCCUUCCCUGAAGGACAUUUAAUGAACCAGUUCAGUUUUACUGAUAAUCCAGCAGUGCCCCUCAGUGUUGCAUCCACAAUUGAUCAGAUUAAUUUCUGAGUUUGACAAUCUUUGUGUGUGUUCUUCUGGUUUCUCUCUCUCUCUCUACUUUUUUUUUCUUCAGUUUGAAAUUGUGAUUGCAUUCAGAGAAAUCAAACAAAACCACAUCCAGAUCUGACACUCAAUCUGUUUGUCGUAACCUAAUUAUCUCAGGAUUUUGAACAUUAAAGGAAGAAGCACUGUUCACACCAGGGAGAAAUGCGUAUUGUCUGUGUGUCGAAGAUUCUGUGAAGAUUCAUCUGAAAUGCCCAAACACCAGCACGGUCACACUGGGGAGAGACUGUGGAAAUGUGGGGAUUGUGGGAAGGGAUUUAUUUACCCAUCCCAGCUGGAAAUGCACCAACGCAGUCACACUGGGGAGAAACUGUUCAUUUGCUCUGAUUGUGGGCUGGGAUUCACUCAGUCAAGCAACCUGCUGAAACACCAACGAGUUCACAGUGGGGAGAGACUGUUCACAUGUUCCGAGUAUGGGAAGGGAUUUGCUCACUCAACCAACCUGCUGAGACACCAGCGAGUUCACUCUGGGGACAGACC